RNAcentral lists this ribosomal RNA (898 nucleotides) under Amanita flavorubens. Its description in RNAcentral is "partial 28S ribosomal RNA". Lineage: Eukaryota; Fungi; Basidiomycota; Agaricomycetes; Agaricales; Amanitaceae. The record is from RNAcentral.
UUAGUAACUGCGAGUGAAGAGGGAAAAGCUCAAAUUUAAAAUCUGGCAGUGUUUCACUGUCCGAGUUGUAACCUAGAGAAGUGUAACCUGCGCUGGACCGUGUAUAAGUCUCCUGGAAUGGAGCAUCACUGAGGGUGAGAAUCCCGUCUUUGACACGGACCACCAGUGCAUUGUGGUUGUGCUCUCAACGAGUCGAGUUGUUUGGGAAUGCAGCUCUAAAUGGGUGGUAAAUUCCAUCUAAAGCUAAAUAUUGGCGAGAGACCGAUAGCGAACAAGUACCGUGAGGGAAAGAUGAAAAGAACUUUGGAAAGAGAGUUAAACAGUAUGUGAAAUUGUUGAAAGGGAAACGUUUGAAGUCAGUCGCGUYGGUUGGGGAUCAGCCUGACAUUGUUGGGUGUACUUCCUGGUUGACGGGCCAACRUCAGUUUUGAUUGCCAGAAAAAGGCCAAAGGAAUGUGGCACCUUUGGGUGUGUUAUAGCCCUUGGUCGUAUAUGGUGGUUGGGACUGAGGAAAGCAGCGUGCCGAAAGGCCGGGUUUCGACCACGUUCACGCUGAGGAUGUUGGCAUAAUGGCUUUAAGCGACCCGUCUUGAAACACGGACCAAGGAGUCUAACAUGCAUGCGAGUGUUUGGGUGGAAAACCCUUACGCGUAAUGAAAGUGAAAGUUGAGAUCCCUGUCGUGGGGAGCAUCGACGCCCGGACCAGAACUUUUGGGACGGAUCUGCGGUAGAGCACGUAUGUUGGGACCCGAAAGAUGGUGAACUAUGCCUGAAUAGGGUGAAGCCAGAGGAAACUCUGGUGGAGGCUCGUAGCGAUUCUGACGUGCAAAUCGAUCGUCAAAUUUGGGUAUAGGGGCGAAAGACUAAUCGAACCAUCUAGUAGCUGGUUCCUGCCGAA